AUGGCGUGCAGCUUCUCCCCUUCCUCCGCCACGAGGCUCCAGGCGGUGGACGCGGCGGCCGUGAAGAGCGCAAGGGUGCCCCUCAAGGCGUCGGUCUCGCCCGCGCCGAGAUCGCUGGGCGGCUGCAGGGCUGCCCGCCAGGAAUUCGAGGGCGCGACACAGGAUCCAAGCGUCUCAGUUUCUUCGGCACGUACACAGCUGGAUCUCCUGGAGCAACUGACGUCGUCCUCCACACCUAAUGGCACCGAGAAUGAAACCGCUACGGAAACCCGUGUGCUCACUACCAUCCGCGAGCAGCUGGUAGCGCUGUACGGUGACAGGGGAGGCGAAUUCACAUUCACCCUCCCGUUGGGCAAGAGGCUCAGGGAAGGCCUCAAGACCCUCAACACCCUCACUGUCUCACAGAGGAGGAACAUCAAGAGGCAGGCCAUGCUCACCAAGGUUAGCGGGAGGAAUGACUCAGUGUUCUUCGCGACUGUCGGUGCAUUCGUCCUCGUGCCGCCUAUCGCAAUUUUAGCUAUCGCUGUCUUAACUGGUUAUGUCCAGCUCUUGCCAUGA
Molecule: ribosomal RNA, 558 nt
Filed under: Triticum aestivum (bread wheat)
Lineage: Eukaryota; Viridiplantae; Streptophyta; Magnoliopsida; Poales; Poaceae
Description: partial small subunit ribosomal RNA
Source: RNAcentral